Molecule: ribosomal RNA, 440 nt
Filed under: uncultured bacterium
Lineage: Bacteria
Description: partial 16S ribosomal RNA
Rfam family: Bacterial small subunit ribosomal RNA
Source: RNAcentral
CCUACGGGAGGCAGCAGUGGGGAAUAUUGCACAAUGGGGGAAACCCUGAUGCAGCGACGCCGCGUGAGUGAAGAAGUAUUUCGGUAUGUAAAGCUCUAUCAGCCGGGAAGAAAAUGACGGUACCCGAUCAAGCAGCCCCGGCUAAAUACGUGCCAGCAGCCGCGGGAAUACGUAGGGGGCAAGCGUUAUCCGGAUUUACUGGGUGUAAAGGGAGCGUAGACGGCAGCACCAGUCUGGAGUGAAAUGCCGGGGCUUAACCCCGGAACUGCAUUGGAAACUGUGCAGCUUGAGUGCAGGAGAGGUACGUGGAAUUCGUGGUGUAGCGGUGAAAUGCGUAGAUAUUAGGAGGAACACCAGUGGCGAAGGCAGCUUACUGGACUGUAACUGACGUUGAGGCUCGAAAGCGUGGGGAGCAAACAGGAUUAGAUACCCUUGUAGUC